UACGAGUGCCCCAAGCGUUGUCCGGAAUUAUUGGGCGUAAAGAGCUCGUAGGCGGUUUGUCGCGUCUGCCGUGAAAGUCCGGGGCUCAACUCCGGAUCUGCGGUGGGUACGGGCAGGCUAGAGUGAUGUAGGGGAGACUGGAAUUCCUGGUGUAGCGGUGAAAUGCGCAGAUAUCAGGAGGAACACCGAUGCCGAAGGCAGGUCUCUGGGCAUUAACUGACGCUGAGGAGCGAAAGCAUGGGAAGCGAACAGG
This 253-nucleotide unclassified non-coding RNA is filed under the name uncultured Micrococcaceae bacterium. RNAcentral's name for it is "contains 16S-23S intergenic spacer region". It matches the Rfam family "Bacterial small subunit ribosomal RNA", at positions 524 to 776 of the family's 1533-position model. Lineage: Bacteria; Bacillati; Actinomycetota; Actinomycetes; Micrococcales; Micrococcaceae. The record is from RNAcentral.